Paramuricea clavata is the source of this 233-nucleotide non-coding RNA. Lineage: Eukaryota; Metazoa; Cnidaria; Anthozoa; Malacalcyonacea; Plexauridae. The record is from the annotation of a GenBank genome assembly.
AUCGUUUUCUUAGAAUAUGUGGCAAGAUACAAGUAAGAAAUUAUCCAUGGCUAAUCUUAGUUUUCGAAGAAUUGACCACCAUUAUGUUUUUCACAAAUGAAAAGAAGUAUUUCUCGAAAGCAUCAGAUCUAAGACUUAUGGAAAUUUUCGAGGUUCGUCAUUUAUAUAGACUUAUAUCAAUAUAUAAUAUUCUACGAAAAACAAUAUACUUUCAUACAUUCCAUAGAGAUCAU